Molecule: long non-coding RNA, 1260 nt
Filed under: Anas platyrhynchos platyrhynchos (common mallard)
Lineage: Eukaryota; Metazoa; Chordata; Aves; Anseriformes; Anatidae
Description: lncRNA (ENSAPLG00000023255.1)
Source: RNAcentral
AUGAACCUAUCCAUGCUAAGGGGGCGCAGGUGGGAGGUGUGUUACAGCCGUGGCUGGGGAUGCAGCGAUGUGGUGGCUCAAGAUGGGGACUUUGAGCCAUGCCAAGACCCCACAAGCGGUGCUGGGGACCCUGCCCCACGGGGCUGUGCAUGGUGCUGCACCCACAGCCGAACACAUGCACCCAGGGGAGCGAUGCAAGGGGGCACGGCACCCUACGGAGCAGCAAAGGCCACUCCAUCCCUGCUUCUCCAUCCUGCUGGGGACCAAAAGAUGCAGAGCCCCUCUCUGAUGCAUUCGCACCCCAGGCAGAAGCCAGGCACUUUCGGGCCCAACGCCCUGCACCCACGCGGGGCAGCACCCGGCGGUGACGCAGCGGGCAGGCACGCAGCGGCGCUGGGUGCUGCCGAGGGAGCCGGGCUCUGGGGGAGGCAAACCAGCACGUCGGGCAGAGCCCAGCACACCUGGAGAGCAGCCCCUGCUCCUCUUGGCCUCCAGCCAGCGCCGGCCGAGCCGUGGGGCUUGCACAACGCUCAGCACCACGCCCCGCGGGGCUCAGCUCCCAGCCCUCUCCCUCCUGCCCCUUGCUGCGGACCCAUGGCUGGAGCUGGCACCGGGCUGAGCCGGGAAGGUGGGUGCUGGGUGGGUGGGUGCUGGGUGGGUGGGUGCCGGGCGGUGUCACCCAUGGAGCCCCAGGAAUUUGGGGGAUUUGCAGGUGGCCAUCCGGGGGGGCUGGAGACGGGCUCUGGUCCUUGUGGGGUGUGCAGGGGUGAUGGGCUCCAGCUUGUGCUCGGCAGCUUUUGGGUGCGGAGGGGAAAGUGGCAGCUCCCCACUCCUGGUCUUACAGCUGAUGUGGAGGAAGGGCUGGGCUUGCCCCCACCCCGGUGGUGUGUGCUGCUGGGGGUGGAGGCUCUGCGGGGCUCAGACGUGGUGCUGAGGUGUGCAGGGAUGAGCAGAAGCGCUGCCCUGCUGCAGGACCCCCGGCACAGCACCGUGCACCCCAGGCUGUGCUCCUCGGGGCGUCCCAGCACCAGCAGCACAGGUUGGCCACGCACACCCUCAGGGCUGGGCUCUCGGCAGCCCCACGGGCUCCGGGCAGCACUCGAGGCUCUGAUCCUUCCCCACAGCCCCUGGACACCGUGCCACGUUGUGCAGCCCUGCCUGGAUGUAAGAGAGCAGCAAGGGGACCCCGAACACCCGGCUGUGAUCGUGCCACCAGCCAUGCCCCGAGCUGGGCAGUUCCUGACCCCCAGCCCCCGGUAA